Long non-coding RNA from Ornithorhynchus anatinus (platypus), 1244 nucleotides. RefSeq lists it as uncharacterized. NCBI's taxonomy places the organism in Eukaryota, Metazoa, Chordata, Mammalia, Monotremata, Ornithorhynchidae. The record is from RefSeq and is a predicted model, not a curated record. The transcript is spliced from 4 exons.
CUAGUUCCUCGGGCCGUCCCGUUCCGGCUCAGAGAGGGAGACCCUGGGAUAGGAGCCGGCUGGGCCCCAGCUGCAGCUGCCAAGGGCGGACGCGCAGAAGGAUUUCCUGGGGAGCUGGCCGGCGGGGCACGGAGCGAGAGCAGCAGGAGGGAUUGAGGCCGGGCGGCAGAAAGGGCUCUCUCGAGCCGGAGGGAGAGUUAGACCGCAGCAGGAGAGAGCAAAGGGGAAGUAGGAAGGAGAACUUCCCGAAAGAAGACGAGGAAGGGGGAGGCAGGAGGCAGAGAAAGACAAAGAAUUCCGAAGCCAACUCUCGAGAUCGUCUUCACCCAAUCCGAUCACCAGCGAUGCCCCAGAUUGAAAUCCAGUCGACGUCAGCCGUGGGAACAGAACAGGGGAGAGUGGGAGCCAAGGGUUUUGACCUGGAUGAAGGAGGAUUAGCGCUCCAUCCCACCUUGAGACCUCUUCUACGCCAAUCUCCCUGAUGACAGGCCGGAUGAACAAAAAAGAGAGGGUGGACCUGUGGACCGGAGACAGGGGGCUAAUGGAUGUCUUUUGGAGGGGAUAAGGAACUCGUCUCUCAACUGGGACGUUGAACAAUCGGGCACCGGCUCACCUCCGUGGCACUGAGGACCGAACAUCCCGGCUGACCCUGCACCACCCCGGUGGGACCGAGGACCGCGACCACAGCCCGUGCCACACCCGUGGACCUCCGGAAGGCUAUGGUGGGCUGCGAUCGUGACUGGACUCUGAACGGUGAGGAGUGUGAAAUUCUGCUCCGGGAUGAGAGGGUGGAGGGCCGGUUCUAAGACCCCGGGCUGAAUCGGCCGGAGAAGCCCGGGAGAGCCUCCUCACCCGACAGAGCGAAACUCCAUCACCGUGCCAUUGGGGACCUCGAUCCCCUCACGUCGCCUGGAAUCCACCCGAUGGACCAGGCGUCUGAUGGACUGCUCCAUGUCUGCGUCUCCUCGGGGGUCCCGCCGGGCACAUGGGGCGAGUAGACGAGGGCUCUGUGAGAAACUGAGAGAACGGACGCCCCCUCAGCCUGUUGUAACCUGCAGGACUGAGGGAGAGGAGCCGGGAAGUUUCCUCUCUUCCGCCCUCCCUUCUUUUCCUCCACUGGUUUCUUUCUCCCGGGACCACGGCCAGGAGAGAAACUCUCUGGUCUGGAGAGGCCCUGGCUGGCCUCUGGAGUUGAGAAGCCUGGGAGAGGGCAUGUGAGACGAUAAUAUUAUCAAUCAUAUUUA